RNAcentral lists this ribosomal RNA (1234 nucleotides) under Escherichia coli. RNAcentral describes it as "partial 23S ribosomal RNA". It matches the Rfam family "Bacterial large subunit ribosomal RNA", at positions 1 to 1266 of the family's 2925-position model. Lineage: Bacteria; Pseudomonadati; Pseudomonadota; Gammaproteobacteria; Enterobacterales; Enterobacteriaceae. The record is from RNAcentral.
GGGUUGUGAGGUUAAGCGACUAAGCGUACACGGUGGAUGCCCUGGCAGUCAGAGGCGAUGAAGGACGUGCUAAUCUGCGAUAAGCGUCGGUAAGGUGAUAUGAACCGUUAUAACCGGCGAUUUCCGAAUGGGGAAACCCAGUGUGUUUCGACACACUAUCAUUAACUGAAUCCAUAGGUUAAUGAGGCGAACCGGGGGAACUGAAACAUCUAAGUACCCCGAGGAAAAGAAAUCAACCGAGAUUCCCCCAGUAGCGGCGAGCGAACGGGGAGCAGCCCAGAGCCUGAAUCAGUGUGUGUGUUAGUGGAAGCGUCUGGAAAGGCGCGCGAUACAGGGUGACAGCCCCGUACACAAAAAUGCACAUACUGUGAGCUCGAUGAGUAGGGCGGGACACGUGGUAUCCUGUCUGAAUAUGGGGGGACCAUCCUCCAAGGCUAAAUACUCCUGACUGACCGAUAGUGAACCAGUACCGUGAGGGAAAGGCGAAAAGAACCCCGGCGAGGGGAGUGAAAAAGAACCUGAAACCGUGUACGUACAAGCAGUGGGAGCACGCUUCGGCGUGUGACUGCGUACCUUUUGUAUAAUGGGUCAGCGACUUAUAUUCUGUAGCAAGGUUAACCGAAUAGGGGAGCCGAAGGGAAACCGAGUCUUAACUGGGCGUUAAGUUGCAGGGUAUAGACCCGAAACCCGGUGAUCUAGCCAUGGGCAGGUUGAAGGUUGGGUAACACUAACUGGAGGACCGAACCGACUAAUGUUGAAAAAUUAGCGGAUGACUUGUGGCUGGGGGUGAAAGGCCAAUCAAACCGGGAGAUAGCUGGUUCUCCCCGAAAGCUAUUUAGGUAGCGCCUCGUGAAUUCAUCUCCGGGGGUAGAGCACUGUUUCGGCAAGGGGGUCAUCCCGACUUACCAACCCGAUGCAAACUGCGAAUACCGGAGAAUGUUAUCACGGGAGACACACGGCGGGUGCUAACGUCCGUCGUGAAGAGGGAAACAACCCAGACCGCCAGCUAAGGUCCCAAAGUCAUGGUUAAGUGGGAAACGAUGUGGGAAGGCCCAGACAGCCAGGAUGUUGGCUUAGAAGCAGCCAUCAUUUAAAGAAAGCGUAAUAGCUCACUGGUCGAGUCGGCCUGCGCGGAAGAUGUAACGGGGCUAAACCAUGCACCGAAGCUGCGGCAGCGACACUAUGUGUUGUUGGGUAGGGGAGCGUUCUGUAAGCCUGUGAAGGUGUGCUGUGA